This 1904-nucleotide long non-coding RNA is filed under the name Equus caballus (horse). Its description in RNAcentral is "lncRNA (ENSECAG00000053169.1)". The record is from RNAcentral. Lineage: Eukaryota; Metazoa; Chordata; Mammalia; Perissodactyla; Equidae.
UCUCAGAAGUCAUGGCUACGUAAUCAUUAUGUUUAAUUCAUACAGUACCCAGCUGAUACUCCCUUCCUCAUUGUUCUCACAGAAACACGAAGGGGCAAGCAUGGAGAAGAAACAUCAUGAACAGGAAAGUGACCUGAAAGGGAGAAAAUUUCCUUCGUGAAUUUUUUACACAAAUAGAAAGAACAGAUUAGUUAUGGCAGAAAAAUGAAUAAGUGACAAAGAUCAAGCUCAAGAAAAUCUCCCAGGAUCUCUUUAUUUUUUUAGAAUAAAGAGAUAAAAAUUAUUAGAGAACAGGUGAGACAUAAAAAACAGAUAUUUACUACUCAAAAAAAUAUACGUAACAGCGAUUUCACAAGGAGAGAAGAGACAAGCCAGAAUUGUAGCAUUCAGCAAUUUAGCACAGACUUUAUGAGAAAAGAGUGCAAAAUCAGAGAUACCCAGGCUUGAAUCUGAGCUCUGGCGCUUUUAACUGUGAAAACUUGGACAAUUUCCUUCUCUAUUUCAGUUUUUUGGUUUUAUGAAAUGAGUUAUAAUAAUAGUCUAAACUUUCAGGGUAUUUGGGGAAAUUAUGUGAGGUGAUGUUUGUAAAAUAAUUUGCAUGAGGUUAACAGGUAAUAAGCAUUCAAUAAAUAUCACCUGUUAGGGGCUAAACUGUGUCCCCCCAAAAUUCCUAUGUUGAAGCCCAAACCCCCAGUACUCAGAAUAUGACUAUGUUUGGAGACAGGGUCUUUGAAGAGGUAACCAAGUUAAAAUGUGGCCAUUAGGGUGGGCCCGAAUCCAGUCUUACUGGUGUCCUGAGAAGAAGAAAUGUGGACGCACGGACACCAAGAAUGAAUGCCCAUGCACAGAGGAAAGAUACAGUGGGAAGGCACCAUCUGCAAGCCAAGGAGAGCAGCCUCAGGAGAAACCAAACCUGCCAGCACCUUGAUCUUGGACUUCAGUCUCCAGAACUAUGUGAAGCUGAGGAUCAGGAUGCUCUUGGUUUCCCAUACUGAUAAAGGCUCCUGGACGAACCGUGCAGAGGAAGCCAAAAUCCACAUUCCUUUUCAGCCCUGUAACAUCGGCUGGCCGGCUACAGAGACCAUCACUAUCCAAACUGUGUACAUUCUUUGACAGCCCUGAGGACCCCCAGCCCCCAGCAGAGCAGCUCCAAGGAACAUUCAGCAGCAACUUAGAACCAAGGCAGGAUAAUGCCAGAUGGCUAAACAGAAGGACGGGUCCAAACCAGAAAGGUCCAAGAUGGCAAUGGCGUGCUGUGCGAAAGGAAACGUGUGCAAAAGGUCCUGGCACAAGCUCCUAAAACACUUGGAGUUCCGUGAGUGAUAAAAGGUCUUUUAUUAUUCAUAAGGAGCCUUUCCAAGCACACCUGAGUUUAUGCUAAUGAGAUGACUUAGGAUGGGGCCUCUGGACAGCCUCACGAUGAGGCUCGUCACCAGAAAGACCAGGUGAUUAGAGGGCUGGAAUUUCCAGGCCCACUAGCUGACUUCUGGGAAGCCGGUUAAGCUUUAGAAAAACUCUUGAAUAGUGAGAUUUGAAGAGCUUCUGGGUUGGUGAAGGCAUCCACAUGCUGGGAAGACGGCACGCCCCAGUGCCUUGGGAACAGAAGCUCCAGUGCUCGGAACCCUUCCAGAACUCACCCUAUGUGCUUCAUCUGCCUGUCCAUCUGGUUAGUGGCCUAACAUGGCAAAGCAUCAUGAUGGAAGGAACUUGGGUCCCAGGAAAAUCAUGCAGAUUAGAGCCAUCCUGCUGAUCAGAACUGCUGCCUCGGAACUGUUACAUGAGAGAGAACCAGCUAUCUGUAAGCCACAUAUUGCUGGAUAUUUAUGAUAUAGCAACUUAGCAUUUUGUACCCUAACUAAGGCAAGGGUCUAGAGGUCUUGGAAAAGAAUUAGUCAUCCCGCAGG